Molecule: ribosomal RNA, 449 nt
Filed under: uncultured bacterium
Lineage: Bacteria
Description: bacterial SSU rRNA
Rfam family: Bacterial small subunit ribosomal RNA
Source: RNAcentral
GGGCCAGACUCCUACGGGAGGCAGCAGUGGGGAAUAUUGCACAAUGGGCGAAAGCCUGAUGCAGCAACGCCGCGUGAAGGAAGAAGGGUUUCGGCUCGUAAACUUCUAUCAACAGGGACGAAAGAAAUGACGGUACCUGAAUAAGAAGCCCCGGCUAACUCCGUGCCAGCAGCCGCGGUAAUACGGAGGAUGCGAGCGUUAUCCGGAUUUAUUGGGUUUAAAGGGUGCGCAGGCGGAAUGUCAAGUCAGCGGUAAAAUUUCGGGGCUCAACCCCGUCGUGCCGUUGAAACUGGCGUUCUUGAGUGAGCGAGAAGUAUGCGGAAUGCGUGGUGUAGCGGUGAAAUGCAUAGAUAUCGCGCAGAACUCCGAUUGCGAAGGCAGCAUGCCGGCUCCACACUGACGCUGAGGCACGAAAGCGUGGGUAUCGAACAGGAUUAGAUACCCCCGUA